Molecule: RNase P RNA, 410 nt
Filed under: Rhodococcus antarcticus
Lineage: Bacteria; Bacillati; Actinomycetota; Actinomycetes; Mycobacteriales; Nocardiaceae
Description: Rhodococcus sp. 75 RNase P RNA component class A
Rfam family: Bacterial RNase P class A
About the family: Ribonuclease P (RNase P) is a ubiquitous endoribonuclease, found in archaea, bacteria and eukarya as well as chloroplasts and mitochondria. Its best characterised activity is the generation of mature 5'-ends of tRNAs by cleaving the 5'-leader elements of precursor-tRNAs.
Source: RNAcentral
CGAGGUGGCCGGGCGACCGCGGUGACCAGGACCAGCAGCACGUGCUGCCGGGCUGGACGCCGAGGAAAGUCCGGACUCCACAGAGCAGGGUGGUUGCCAACAGCAACCCGGGGUGACCCGCGGGACAGUGCCACAGAGAACAGACCGCCAGGGCGUGCCCUGGCAAGGGUGAAACGGUGCGGCAAGAGCGCACCAGCGCUCCGGGUGACCGGAGCGGCUCGGUAAACCCCACCCGGAGCAAGGUCAAAGGUCGAACCCGUGAGGGUGCGGCUGCGCAGGUGCUCGAGGGCUGCUCGCCCGAGCCUGCGGGUGGACCGCUCGAGGCGCCCGGCGACGGUGCGUCCAGAUGGAUGGUCGCCACCCGGUGCUCGCACCGGGCACAGGAUCCGGCUUACAGGCCACCUCGUCCG